Long non-coding RNA from Tachysurus vachellii, 1222 nucleotides. RefSeq lists it as uncharacterized. The transcript is spliced from 3 exons. The record is from RefSeq and is a predicted model, not a curated record. Lineage: Eukaryota; Metazoa; Chordata; Actinopteri; Siluriformes; Bagridae.
UUAGCACAUGGGUUUCGUACUGCCGCGAAUCCUAACCACAGAACGCCCACGAGCCCCGUCUCACCAUGAUGUGAGAUAUCUCUACAGGAAACGAAAGACGACAAAGUUUUGAUGUUAGACAUAAAGGACGACGACAACGAGCCGGAGCUUCCCACAGAUGCCUGCAUCAAAGCUAGAUCAUAUCGAAUAACACCAGAGCCUGCUGUCACUGCAAGUCUACACCCCUCUCACUCUAACACACACACACACACACACACACACACAGCUACCUGUUUACUGCAGCUUAACCCCACUGACCCAGUCAGCCAAAAGCCGAGCUCUUCACCCGGCUGCAACCGGUCUUUUUUACACACACACACACACACACACACACACACACACACACACACACAGUCUCAUUAAAGAGAUGGUGCGUUCUGAGGCCCCGUGUUGUUCACCCUCACCCCUCAGUCUCUCCUGUCACUUGUUGGCAUGGCCUUUCUCUUGGUGCUGAUGAGAAACAGUAGCAGCUCCAUAGAGCUUCUAACCACAUUAUUCUAUUCAGUGUGUUAUUCUCUGCUUGUUUGAUGAAUAUUUUGUGCCCUGUGACAAUCUCUGCUACAUCUGUCCAAACUUUCAUAUUUCAGUCAACCAUUAAAUGGGACCCGACUGUAGGUAGAAGCUAAAGUUCAGGGAAGCGAAGAAACGUCGGACCACACGAGGACUCGACUGGUCUGUGGAAUCGUUUCAGACCGCCGCAUGUCACAAACGCAUAGAAAUCCUAAACAGUACUUGCGUAAUUGUUUAUAUCAUGAUUCUGUAACACAAACCUACAUAGAAAACGAACGUUGCCUAGUGAGAUCAGCAUAAUCUGGAACUCAGCUCUCAUGUGCACACCCACACCCAAAUAUUCGUCACACAGCGAGAACUUUGUGGUCUUUGGUUUCAGCUUCACUAAAUCCGGUCGUCCUACAGGAACGUGUUUGAGAGGAAACCAGAGAACCCAGAGGAAACCCGUGCUCAUGCUCAGUAACCUGAGCUCAGGGAUCUUUGGAGCUCUGAGACAACGAUGGACACCGCACUACUGUUCCAGCAGUCUGUCUGAACUGUGUGUGUGUUUUUGUACAUUUUGUCUAAAAAUCACGUUUGGGCGGUUUAUUAGGUAGACGCCUUCACGCCGUGUUUAUUCUGAAACCAUCCUGAACACUGUGCAUCCUGUGUGACCUGAAAAGAAAUAAAAAUA